AGAGUUUGAUCCUGGCUCAGGAUGAACGCUAGCGGCAGGCUUAACACAUGCAAGUCGAGGGGUAACGGGGAAGCUUGCUUCCGCCGACGACCGGCGCACGGGUGCGUAACGCGUAUACAAUCUACCUUAUACUGGGGUAUAGCCUUUAGAAAUGAAGAUUAACCCCCCAUAGUCUCUUAGAGUGGCAUCACUUCUAGAGUAAAGGUUACGGUAUAAGAUGAGUAUGCGUUCUAUUAGUUUGUUGGUGUGGUAACGGCACACCAAGACUACGAUAGAUAGGGGCCCUGAGAGGGGGAUCCCCCACACUGGUACUGAGACACGGACCAGACUCCUACGGGAGGCAGCAGUGAGGAAUAUUGGACAAUGGAGGCAACUCUGAUCCAGCCAUGCCGCGUGCAGGAAGACUGCCCUAUGGGUUGUAAACUGCUUUUAUACAGGAAGAAACACCUCUACGUGUAGAGGCUUGACGGUACUGUAAGAAUAAGGAUCGGCUAACUCCGUGCCAGCAGCCGCGGUAAUACGGAGGAUCCAAGCGUUAUCCGGAAUCAUUGGGUUUAAAGGGUCCGUAGGUGGAUAAUUAAGUCAGAGGUGAAAUCUUGCAGCUCAACUGUAAAAUUGCCUUUGAAACUGGUUAUCUUGAGUUAUUAUGAAGUAGUUAGAAUAUGUAGUGUAGCGGUGAAAUGCAUAGAUAUUACAUAGAAUACCAAUUGCGAAGGCAGAUUACUAAUAAUCAACUGACACUGAUGGACGAAAGCGUGGGUAGCGAACAGGAUUAGAUACCCUGGUAGUCCACGCCGUAAACGAUGGUUACUAGCUGUUUGGACUUCGGUCUGAGUGGCUAAGCGAAAGUGAUAAGUAACCCACCUGGGGAGUACGUUCGCAAGAAUGAAACUCAAAGGAAUUGACGGGGGCCCGCACAAGCGGUGGAGCAUGUGGUUUAAUUCGAUGAUACGCGAGGAACCUUACCAGGGCUUAAAUGUAAGUUGCAUUAGUUAGAGAUAGCUAUUUCUUCGGACCACUUACAAGGUGCUGCAUGGUUGUCGUCAGCUCGUGCCGUGAGGUGUCAGGUUAAGUCCUAUAACGAGCGCAACCCCUGUUGUUAGUUGCCAGCGAGUCAUGUCGGGAACUCUAGCAAGACUGCCAGUGCAAACUGUGAGGAAGGUGGGGAUGACGUCAAAUCAUCACGGCCCUUACGUCCUGGGCUACACACGUGCUACAAUGGUAGGUACAGAGAGCAGCCACUGCGCGAGCAGGAGCGAAUCUAUAAAACCUAUCACAGUUCGGAUCGGAGUCUGCAACUCGACUCCGUGAAGCUGGAAUCGCUAGUAAUCGGAUAUCAGCCAUGAUCCGGUGAAUACGUUCCCGGGCCUUGUACACACCGCCCGUCAAGCCAUGGAAGUUGGAAGUGCCUGAAGUCCGUCACCGUAAGGAGCGGCCUAGGGUAAAGUCGAUAACUAGGGCUAAGUCGUAACAAGGUA
RNAcentral lists this ribosomal RNA (1478 nucleotides) under uncultured bacterium. RNAcentral's name for it is "bacterial SSU rRNA". It matches the Rfam family "Bacterial small subunit ribosomal RNA". The record is from RNAcentral.